Molecule: unclassified non-coding RNA, 306 nt
Filed under: plant metagenome
Description: partial contains 5.8S ribosomal RNA, internal transcribed spacer 2, and large subunit ribosomal RNA
Rfam family: 5.8S ribosomal RNA (bases 1-104)
Source: RNAcentral
AAAUGCGAUAAGUAAUGUGAAUUGCAGAAUUCAGUGAAUCAUCGAAUCUUUGAACACACAUUGCGCCCGCCAGCACUCUGGCGGGCAUGCCUGUUCGAGCGUCAUUUCAACCCUCAGAACCCCUUGCGGGAUCUGGCGUUGGGGAUUGGCAUACAGCCAGCCCCGAAAUCUAGUGGCGGUCCCUCCGCGACCUCCCCUGUGCAGUAGCGAUACCUCGCAGCGGGACAGCGGUCUGACCACGCCGUAAAACCCCCAACUUCUCAAGGUUGACCUCGAAUCAGGUAGGAAUACCCGCUGAACUUAAGC